RNAcentral lists this ribosomal RNA (444 nucleotides) under uncultured bacterium. RNAcentral describes it as "SSU rRNA". It matches the Rfam family "Bacterial small subunit ribosomal RNA", at positions 26 to 518 of the family's 1533-position model. The record is from RNAcentral.
AGAACGAACGCUGGCGGCAGGCUUAACACAUGCAAGUCGAACGCCCCGCAAGGGGGAGUGGCAGACGGGUGAGUAACGCGUGGGAACGUACCUUUCGCUUCGGAAUAGCCCCGGGAAACUGGGUGUAAAACCGGAUACGCCGUAUUGGGAAAGAUUUAUCGGCGAAAGAUCGGCCCGCGUUGGAUUAGCUAGUUGGCGGUGUAAUGGACCACCAAGGCGACGAUCCAUAGCUGGUCUGAGAGGAUGAUCAGCCACACUGGGACUGAGACACGGCCCAGACUCCUACGGGAGGCAGCAGUGGGGAAUCUUGGACAAUGGGCGCAAGCCUGAUCCAGCCAUGCCGCGUGAGUGAAGAAGGCCUUAGGGUUGUAAAACUCUUUCGCCGGUGAAGAUAAUGACGGUAGCCGGAGAAGAAGCCCCGGCUAACUUCGUGCCAGCAGCCGC